RNAcentral lists this transfer RNA (73 nucleotides) under Aeromonas phage L9-6. RNAcentral describes it as "tRNA-Asn". It matches the Rfam family "tRNA". From Rfam's summary of the family: Transfer RNA (tRNA) molecules are approximately 80 nucleotides in length. Their secondary structure includes four short double-helical elements and three loops (D, anti-codon, and T loops). Further hydrogen bonds mediate the characteristic L-shaped molecular structure. tRNAs have two regions of fundamental functional importance: the anti-codon, which is responsible for specific mRNA codon recognition, and the 3' end, to which the tRNAs corresponding amino acid is attached (by aminoacyl-tRNA synthetases). tRNAs cope with the degeneracy of the genetic code in two manners: having more than one tRNA (with a specific anti-codon) for a particular amino acid; and 'wobble' base-pairing, i.e. permitting non-standard base-pairing at the 3rd anti-codon position. The record is from RNAcentral. Lineage: Duplodnaviria; Heunggongvirae; Uroviricota; Caudoviricetes; Pantevenvirales; Straboviridae. RNAcentral also lists the same sequence under 1 other name.
GGUUCAUUAGCUCAGUGGUUAGAGCGUUCGCCUGUUAAGCGAGGGGUCACCGGUUCAAAUCCGGUAUGGACCG